GUGCUUGCUUCAGCAGCACAUAUGCUAACAUUGGAAUGAUACAGAGAAGAUUAGCAUGGGCCCUGAGCAAGGAUGACACACAGAUUAGUGAAGCAUUCCAUAUUUUA
This is a small nuclear RNA of Pteronotus mesoamericanus, 107 nucleotides long. NCBI's taxonomy places the organism in Eukaryota, Metazoa, Chordata, Mammalia, Chiroptera, Mormoopidae. The record is from RefSeq and is a predicted model, not a curated record.